This 375-nucleotide unclassified non-coding RNA is filed under the name soil metagenome. RNAcentral's name for it is "partial contains 5.8S ribosomal RNA, internal transcribed spacer 2, and large subunit ribosomal RNA". The stretch from base 1 to 120 matches the Rfam family "5.8S ribosomal RNA", at positions 35 to 154 of the family's 154-position model. The record is from RNAcentral.
GAUGAAGAACGUAGCGAAAUGCGAUAAGUAAUGUGAAUUGCAGAAUUCAGUGAAUCAUCGAAUCUUUGAACGCACAUUGCGCCCGCCAGUAUUCUGGCGGGCAUGCCUGUUCGAGCGUCAUUUCAACCCUCAAGACCCCUUCGGGGGACUUGGUGUUGGGGACCGGCACAGGGGCCUGCCUGCUUGUCUUGCAGCGCCCUCGCCGCCCCCGAAAUGAAUUGGCGGCCUCGUCGCGGCCUCCCCUGCGUAGUAGCACGAACCUCGCAACGGGAACGUGACGGCGGCCACUGCCGUAAAACAACCCAAUUUUAUUAGAGUUGACCUCGAAUCAGGUAGGAAUACCCGCUGAACUUAAGCAUAUCAAUAAGCGGAGGA